RNAcentral lists this non-coding RNA (105 nucleotides) under Neobacillus niacini. RNAcentral describes it as "Bacillus niacini SAM-I sequence". It matches the Rfam family "SAM riboswitch aptamer (S box leader)". From Rfam's summary of the family: The SAM riboswitch is found upstream of a number of genes which code for proteins involved in methionine or cysteine biosynthesis in Gram-positive bacteria. The SAM riboswitch acts at the level of transcription termination control. Lineage: Bacteria; Bacillati; Bacillota; Bacilli; Caryophanales; Bacillaceae. The record is from RNAcentral.
CUCUUAUCAAGAGAGGUGGAGGGAUGUGCCCGAUGAAGCCCGGCAACCGUCAAUUUAUUGAAAUGGUGCCAAUUCACACAAAGCGAAUGCUUUGGAAGAUGGGAG